AUGUACCGUGGUGGGCUUGACCGCUUCAAGAAAGCUCAAGCCUUGGAGCCGUUCUCGGUGCAGCAGUCUGGUUCCGGCGCAAAGAGCGUGCCCACGGCUGUGAAAGUGCAACCAGCUCCAUUGGUGCCGCCGCAGAGCUCACAUCUUGGUCCCAGCCAGAGUCAGCAUGCUCCGCAGAGUGCUGGCUCAAGCAUGGCCGGGCAAGAAGCUGCUGGGGCUCCCAGACCUGCCGGGACGCAGUUUGGUGGUGGGCAGUCGACGUGGCAACCGCCGGACUGGGCAAUUGAGCCGCGCCCUGGGGUUUACUAUCUUGAGGUGAUGAAGGAUGGGAGUGCCAUUGAUAGGAUCAAUCUGGACAAGAAGAGGCAUAUAUUUGGGAGGCAGGUGCCUGCUUGCGAGAUUGUCUUGGACCAUCAGUCCGUCUCACGCCAACAUGCUGCUGUCGUUCCACACAAAAAUGGAAGCAUCUAUGUUAUCGAUUUAGGAUCUGUCCACGGUACAUUUGUUGCAAACGAGAGAUUAACCAAGGACAACCCUGUUGAACUUGAAGUUGGACAGUCACUUCGCUUUGCUGCAUCAACCAGAGCAUAUGUUCUACGAAAGAACACGGCUGCUUUUUUCCCCACUCAAAGUCUCCCGUCAGAUGUGAGUUUGCCGUCCCCUCCAGACUCUGACGAUGAAGAUGCCGUUGUUGCAUACAAUACAAUACUGAAUCGCUAUGGUGUUAGCAAAUCAGACGUGCCAUUGAAGAGAAAAGGUUCUUCUGGGGAUGCUUCUGCUGUUAAUGAUGACAACCAGGCAGUCGGUAGACCAUCAAAGAGAAUCAGAAAGCGGAGAGUGUCAUUUAGAGAUCAGGUUGGUGGGGAGCUUAUUCAGGUGGUUGGGAUUUCUGAUGGUGCAGAUGUUGAAACUGAACCAGGCCCAGUAGGUGUGAAGGAAGGCAGUCUUGUUGGGAAGUACGAGUCUCUUGUACAGGUCACUGUCAUACCAAAAGGAAAGGAGCAAACUUCAUCAAAGGACAGUGCCUCCAACAGUGGGGUAACAGAUAAGCUACAACAGAUGCUUAACAAAGUUAAAAGCACAUCCAGAGGUGGUAUGUAUGAUGACCUUUACGGGGACUCUGUUCCAGCAAAACCGGGCUCAUCAUGGGCGUAUAAAUCAGAUGGCCAGCCAGAGCAAGUCAAAGUUGUUGAUGAAAAGAAGUCUAGCAGGGAUGUGGACGCAAAUCCGGCUGAUGAUAGUGAUGAUGACUUGUUUGGCGACUAG
RNAcentral lists this ribosomal RNA (1266 nucleotides) under Triticum aestivum (bread wheat). Its description in RNAcentral is "partial small subunit ribosomal RNA". The record is from RNAcentral. Lineage: Eukaryota; Viridiplantae; Streptophyta; Magnoliopsida; Poales; Poaceae.